RNAcentral lists this ribosomal RNA (388 nucleotides) under uncultured bacterium. Its description in RNAcentral is "bacterial SSU rRNA". It matches the Rfam family "Bacterial small subunit ribosomal RNA", at positions 29 to 418 of the family's 1533-position model. The record is from RNAcentral.
AUUGAACGCUGGCGGAAUGCUUUACACAUGCAAGUCGAACGGCAGCACGGGGGCAACCCUGGUGGCGAGUGGCGAACGGGUGAGUAAUACAUCGGAACGUGCCCAAUCGUGGGGGAUAACGUAGCGAAAGCUACGCUAAUACCGCAUACGAUCUACGGAUGAAAGCGGGGGAUCGCAAGACCUCGCGCGAAUGGAGCGGCCGAUGGCAGAUUAGGUAGUUGGUGGGGUAAAGGCUCACCAAGCCGACGAUCUGUAGCUGGUCUGAGAGGACGACCAGCCACACUGGGACUGAGACACGGCCCAGACUCCUACGGGAGGCAGCAGUGGGGAAUUUUGGACAAUGGGCGCAAGCCUGAUCCAGCCAUUCCGCGUGCAGGAUGAAGGCCUU